This is a long non-coding RNA of Cyprinus carpio (common carp), 517 nucleotides long. RefSeq lists it as uncharacterized. NCBI's taxonomy places the organism in Eukaryota, Metazoa, Chordata, Actinopteri, Cypriniformes, Cyprinidae. The transcript has 3 exons. The record is from RefSeq and is a predicted model, not a curated record.
UGCGUGGUGGAGGAGCUGCAGCAGCAAGAGGACAAAAUCGAGCUCAAGUUUCAAAUGAAAUUCGGGCAACAAUUAUUGACCAUGUCAUCAAUCAUGGCUUGUCCUUUAGAAAGGCUGGACAAAGGGUCCAGCCCAUUCUGAGUCGGAGCACUGUGGCAUCUAUUGUCAGGCUUUUUUCGGAAUGAGAACAGAAUCCACACAUUGCCACACACUGGUGGCAGAGGAAAGAUAUUUAGUAUUGAACAGGAGUCUGCCAUUGUAGAUAUGGUAGUGGCAAACAAUGCAAUCAGACUGCGUGAAAUCCAGGCAGCAGUAAUUGCAGAUCAGGGAGCAUUUAGAAAUAUAAACAGUGUGAGUUUGGCAACUAUAGAUCGAGUCCUUAAACGAAACCAUGUCAGAAUGAAGCAGCUGUACAGAGUUCCAUUUCAAAGAAACUCUGACAUCGUAAAGGAGGCACGAUUCCAAGAAUAAUGGAGCUUGAAGCUGAAGGGGCACAUCACAAAUUCAUUUUUGUGGA